This 150-nucleotide non-coding RNA is filed under the name Burkholderia glumae. Lineage: Bacteria; Pseudomonadati; Pseudomonadota; Betaproteobacteria; Burkholderiales; Burkholderiaceae. The record is from RNAcentral.
GUUGCGGGACUUGACGAUUUUCGCGAUAGAAUUGCGGCCGCCAAGCUCGGAAGCGGGUGAAAAUCCCGCGCGGUCGCGCCACUGUGACCGGUUUCGCCGUCGUCCGACGGCGGUGCCGGAAGUCAGACCUGGGCUCGGUGCCUGCAUUCG